RNAcentral lists this ribosomal RNA (468 nucleotides) under uncultured bacterium. RNAcentral describes it as "partial 16S ribosomal RNA". It matches the Rfam family "Bacterial small subunit ribosomal RNA", at positions 28 to 507 of the family's 1533-position model. The record is from RNAcentral.
GACGAACGCUGGCGGCGUGCUUAACACAUGCAAGUCGAACGGAAAGGCCCUGCUUUUGUGGGGUGCUCGAGUGGCGAACGGGUGAGUAACACGUGAGUAACCUGCCCUUGACUUUGGGAUAACUUCAGGAAACUGGGGCUAAUACCGGAUAGGAGCUCCUGCUGCAUGGGGGGGGUUGGAAAGUUUCUGCGGUUGGGGAUGGACUCGCGGCUUAUCAGCUUGUUGGUGGGGUAGUGGCUUACCAAGGCUUUGACGGGUAGCCGGCCUGAGAGGGUGACCGGCCACAUUGGGACUGAGAUACGGCCCAGACUCCUACGGGAGGCAGCAGUGGGGAAUAUUGCACAAUGGGCGGAAGCCUGAUGCAGCAACGCCGCGUGAGGGAUGACGGCCUUCGGGUUGUAAACCGCUUUCGCCUGGGACGAAGCGUGAGUGACGGUAACUGGUAAAGAAGCACCGGCUAACUACGUG